CUACGGAGGGUGCGAGCGUUACUCGGAGUCACUGGGCGUAAAGCGUCCGUAGGCGGUCGGGUAAGUCGGGUGUGAAAGCCCCGGGCUCAACCUGGGAAGUGCACCCGAUACUGCUCGACUCGAGUGCGGGAGAGGAUGGCGGAAUUCCCGGUGUAGCGGUGAAAUGCGUAGAGAUCGGGAGGAACACCAGUGGCGAAGGCGGCCAUCUGGCCCGCAACUGACGCUGAGGGACGAAAGCGUGGGGAGCAAACAGGAUUAGAAACCCCAGUAGUCC
Molecule: ribosomal RNA, 274 nt
Filed under: uncultured bacterium
Lineage: Bacteria
Description: partial 16S ribosomal RNA
Rfam family: Bacterial small subunit ribosomal RNA
Source: RNAcentral